This 858-nucleotide small RNA is filed under the name Pongo abelii (Sumatran orangutan). RNAcentral's name for it is "processed transcript". Lineage: Eukaryota; Metazoa; Chordata; Mammalia; Primates; Hominidae. The record is from RNAcentral.
AAGGACAAAUGGAUCUUUAUAUUUUUCACCCCUUUCAAUUCUUUGUAUCUUAAAACAUGACAUGAAUGUAAUUGAACAAGGUAAUUUUCUAAUUCUUUCCAUCUGGCCUUUCAGAGUGGAGUGGGGACAAAGUGGAUGAGGUGCCUCACUCCUGAUGCGGAAGCUCGUCCAGAUAUUGUAGAAGUCAGUUCGAUGAUAUCAGAUGUCAUGAUGAAAUAUUUAGACAACUUAUCUAAAUCCCAGUUGUCCUUGGAGAAGAAGCUAGAACGGGAACGAAGACGCACACAAAGGUAUUUUAUGGAAGCCAACCGGAACACCAUCACAUGUCACCAUGAGCUGACUCUUCUAUCUCAUGAGACCUUUGAGAAGGCAAGUUUGAGUAGCAGCAGCAGUGGAGCAGCCAGCCUGAAAAGUGAACUUUCAGAAAGCGCAGACCUGCCCCCUGAAGGCUUCCAGGCCUCCUAUGGUAAAGACGAAGACAGGGCCUGUGACGAAAUCCUGUCAGAUGAUAACUUCAACCUGGAAAAUACUGAGAAAGAUACAUAUUCAGAGGUAGAUGAUGAAUUGGACAUUUCGGAUAACUCCAGCAGCUCCAGUUCAAGCCCUCUGAAAGAAUCUACAUUCAACAUUUUAAAGAGAAGUUUUAGUGCUUCAGGAGGAGAAAGACAAUCCCAAACAAGGGACUUCACUGGAGGAACAGGAUCAAGACCAAGACCAGCAUCGGCAGGAAUUGCUGUGUCCCAGAGGAAAGUGCGUCAGAUCAGCGAUCCUAUUCAGCAGAUAUUAAUUCAGCUGCACAAAAUAAUCUAUAUCACACAGCUUCCUCCAGCUUUGCACCAUAAUUUGAAAAGAAGGGUU